UACAUGCCCCAGAUGUUCUGGAAUGCCGGAUGUCAGAUGGUUGCCCUCAAUUUCCAGACAAUGGAUCUGCCCAUGCAGCAGAACAUGGCACUGUUUGAGUUCAACGGGCAGAGUGGCUACCUCCUAAAGCACGAGUUCAUGCGCAGGCAGGACAAGCAGUUCAACCCCUUCUCGGUGGACCGCAUUGAUGUGGUGGUUGCCACUACCCUUUCCAUUACGGCAAGGCCCAGGGUUGACAAGUGUCUGGGAGGGCUGGGUUCUUGAGAAGGAAGGCCAAGAAGCCCACCCCUCUACCUCAACCCCCUUUCCUGAUAUCUUGAAGACUUCAGCCCCAGCCAGUUCCUGCAGUAGCAAGUUGCCUUGGAAACUGCCUCCUCCUCAGCACUGGAGUCU
RNAcentral lists this long non-coding RNA (393 nucleotides) under Rattus norvegicus (Norway rat). RNAcentral's name for it is "long non-coding RNA NONRATT019593". The record is from RNAcentral. Lineage: Eukaryota; Metazoa; Chordata; Mammalia; Rodentia; Muridae.